This 1325-nucleotide long non-coding RNA is filed under the name Citrus x clementina. RNAcentral describes it as "Citrus clementina (C. clementina) long non-coding RNA (CCLE_LNC001826)". Lineage: Eukaryota; Viridiplantae; Streptophyta; Magnoliopsida; Sapindales; Rutaceae. The record is from RNAcentral.
UUUUGUAUAAAAAAUAAAGGUAAGAAUGUAAUAUAUUUAAUUUCAGUAUUUUUUGAGAUUUUUUUUAAAAAAAAAUAUAUGAAUCAACGGACUUUUGUGUCAAAAUAUAGUGACUGAACAUGCAUUUUCCCUUAUUUAUGAGUAUCUCUCAUGAUUUGAGCCAUAGGUUCGAUUAAUUUUUUUUGUAAGUAUGCAUUUCUAUUUAUAUAUGGCCAAGACUUAUUUAUUAUAUUCACAUUUAUCAAUUACCAAUCAUGUAAUUAUAUCUACUUAGAUAAAUGAUUAGAUCACGAUAGAAUCCUUAUUUUUUAAAUCAAGAGGUAUGAGUGUGGGUGUUAGCGAGAUCAGUUGGCAAAAUCUAAUAGAUAUAAAAGAAGAGGUAUUAGGGUUUUACCCCGCUCAUACACAUUGAUGGGGAGAAUAUUUGGUUGCCAUCAGCCCAAAAAAAAAAAGGUAAUAAAACUAUGAAGAAGUACAAGUCAAUGUUUCAUAUUAACAACCGAAAGAGGUAUAGAUUUGUGGUUGCGGAACAAAUACCUUCAACUUGCAGCAACUUUACUCAAGAUUGGAAAAAGAACAACCAUUUCUACUCCAAUGCAUAAUCCCAUUUGCUCAACUUAUCAAUGAAGCUUCACUGAUCCCUAUUUGUUUCCAUUACAUCCUAUAUUUUUCGUUACAUUUGGCAAAAGUUAAUUGCCCUAGAAGCAGUAGUAUAAGGUAUGACAUAUUAGGGUUUAAUCACUUUUAUGUUUGUUAUUGUAUUAGAGUCAUGUUAGUAUCUUAAUUUACGACUUUGAUUUAUUGAGUAAUUAUGUUCAUUUUAAGAAAGACUGGUUUACCCUAAGAUAUAAAUAGGAAUAUCUUGUCAUUGUUUUAGAUAAUGUUCAAUAAAUAUAUCUCUCAUUUAUUUUUCGGAUGGGGAUGGUAAUUUUAAAACUUGAAAUGUCACCAUUAAACCUUGUGAUUGCCACAUAACUUUUAUGCAUAUGUGUAUAUAUGUAUGUUUGUAUACACUCACAAAUAUACAUAUAAAUAAAUGUAUAGAGCCCUCACUUUGGACUUUCUUUGUUGAAAAGUUGGUCUUUGUGGUUUGGUAAGAGCUCUAAGUCAAGAUUGUUGAUUCUCCUCGUUAUUUGUAAUGAUUUUUUUUUGUGGAAAAUUCGGACAGUUUUCUUAUGAUUCAAUUUUUUCUCUUUUUAUAGGUAAAAUAUCUUCAAUCGGUCCAUAUAGGUCAAAAAUCCAUAUAUCGCUAAUUGCUAUGAAUGAGAACAUUGAAGUCUUGUUUAUAAUUAAAGUUAAACGGUUAUAGUUUAAAAGUUAUAUCA